GACGAACGCUGGCGGCGUGCUUAACACAUGCAAGUCGAGCGGUAAGGCCCUUUCGGGGGUACACGAGCGGCGAACGGGUGAGUAACACGUGGGUGACCUGCCCUCAGCUCUGGGAUAAGCCUGGGAAACCGGGUCUAAUACUGGAUAUGACUCCAUGACGCAUGUUGUGGGGUGGAAAGCCUUGUGCGGCUGAGGAUGGGGCCCGCGGCCUAUCAGCUUGUUGGUGGGGUGAGGCCUACCAAGGCGACGACGGGUAGCCGGCCUGAGAGGGCGACCGGCCACACUGGGACUGAGACACGGCCCAGACUCCUACGGGAGGCAGCGGUAAGGAAUAUUGCGCAAUGGGCGAAAGCCUGACGCAGCGACGCCGCGUGGGGAUGAAGGUCUUCGGAUUGU
Molecule: ribosomal RNA, 396 nt
Filed under: uncultured bacterium
Lineage: Bacteria
Description: bacterial SSU rRNA
Rfam family: Bacterial small subunit ribosomal RNA
Source: RNAcentral